GGAUUAGAUACCCUGGUAGUCCACGCUGUAAACGAUGAUCACUCGUUGUUUGCGAUAUAUUGUAAGCGACUGAGCGAAAGCAUUAAGUGAUCCACCUGGGGAGUACGUUGGCAACAAUGAAACUCAAAGGAAUUGACGGGGGCCCGCACAAGCGGAGGAACAUGUGGUUUAAUUCGAUGAUACGCGAGGAACCUUACCUGGGUUUAAAUGCAGAUUGCAUAGUUUGGAAACAGACUUUUCCUUCGGGACUAUUUGCAAGGUGCUGCAUGGUUGUCGUCAGCUCGUGCCG
Molecule: ribosomal RNA, 289 nt
Filed under: uncultured bacterium
Lineage: Bacteria
Description: partial 16S ribosomal RNA
Rfam family: Bacterial small subunit ribosomal RNA
Source: RNAcentral